Non-coding RNA from Marinactinospora thermotolerans DSM 45154, 117 nucleotides. Lineage: Bacteria; Bacillati; Actinomycetota; Actinomycetes; Streptosporangiales; Nocardiopsidaceae. The record is from Rfam.
UACGGCGGUGAUGGCGGGAGGGAAACACCCGGUCCCAUUCCGAACCCGGUCGUUAAGCCUCCCAGCGCCGAUGGUACUGCCCCCUGGUUGGGGUGGGAGAGUAGGUCGCCGCCGGGC